GUCAACAGGACAGAGAGGAGGGAACUGAGAUUACCCUUUGUAGGUUGAGUACAAUGACUUCAGUAGAUAUUCUUUAUGCUUUAAUUAAUUGAAAAGAAACGAAAGUUGAUGGCACAAUGUAAUGACUAUAGAAUAAUGACACCAUCUUAGACUGGUUCCAUAUAAGCCUUGUUUUCAUGAUGCAGUUCUGCCUGCCAUGAGAUUCGUGGCCCAAAAAUAACUGUAGAACUGUAGAAACUCCCGUUGCAAAUGUAGCCAGGUGUAAAAAAAAAAACACACACACACAGUUAUUUGAGUACAAUCACAGAAGAGAGACUGUUUAUUUUCUUUAUCUUUAUUUGUUUUGCAUCGGUAAAGUAUUAGAUGUCCUAUUGCAUUUGAAUGCACCGCUCCGCUCACAUGGUCCCACGUCGGGUACCUAGCUCUCAGCAGCCAAUCAGAGGCUACGCAGGCCACGCUCAGCCUGUCGGCUCAGAGGCGAAGUGCAGGCGCGCUGCUCUUCCGGUCCCUUCUGAUCUCAGCCAGAGUAGCGAGGGCAACUGCAUGCAAAGAGGAAGCGAAAACCAGGAGAAAACCGCGGAGUUUACCUGUGAAAAGGAAAAGAACAGUUGGAGCACUUACCCACUGGAGGUCCGGAGCCAAGUGACUGAACGAAGGAGAGGGUUACGUCGAGAGCCGCGGCAAGGUCCGACAUCGGCGUGUUCUGCCUUGAUACACAGAGAGCAACGGUCAGGUUUUUUUGGAGGACUGAAGAGUCUGAGGUUCAGGACAAACUUCCUGCCGUAACAGAUGGCGAGCCAACCACCCUGAAGAAAGAUCAGCACCGAGAAGAUAUCCACGUACCCACUCAUUCACACACACAUUAUACAUUUAUAUUGCACUACAAAGACCUUUGGAAUCAGGUGAACUUGCAAUAAUCCUACAACAGGAAAACCUGCAACAACUCCUAUUUUACUUAAGGGCCCCAACGGACAUUUUUUUUGUUUCAAGUGUGCACACUGGGUUUUUCUUAUUGUCUUACUGUUUAGGUCAUUAUUUUAUAUUCUGUACAAAUCAGACAAAUUGUUUUAUCCACUGUUAAAAAUUAUACGAGUGGCUACUUAACCAUUAACCCUGCGAUUGCCUCAUUAUUGUUGUUCAGUACAGUGGCUCCUCCCGAAUUUAGUGUCUUCUGAUUCUGGUCCAGGUAUUAUAAAUAGUCCAAGUAAUUAUUACACUGUAAUUCACUUUUAUAUCCCUGAAGUUGGUUACAGAAGUGGCGAGCCAGCCAGGAGCCAUUUGAUUUGAGCAUCAGUAUUGAAGUAAUGACCAGUAUGGAUUUCAUACAAAAGUCUGAUGUCAAAAUUCCAAACGCAGUUAUUGUCAGUGGGAUAACGCAGGUGGCUGAACAAGAUCAACAAAUGCUUGACUUUCUAAAACAGUGUGGUAAAAUUGAGAGAAUCCGUUUGGUUGAUGAUUCACAGUCCGAGUUCUUUCAAAACCUGAUCGUUGAAUAUUCUAACGGUUCAGUCUUAGAAGGUUUAGAACCUCACUUACCGUACACAUGCACAGCACAAGGUGACUCUACUGUUGUCUAUGAAGUUAAGACACUCAGUAGCAUGUACGCUACCAAGGUUGGAAGUAAUGUUACUAAGACAUACUUAGCUGAACUCAAGCAACUAGCUAAGAUGAGCGGCAAAGACUAUGGUGAGGUGUUGAAAGAAAUGAUGUCUCAGAUUGGGGAAGAUGUUGAAGCCAUGCAGCACACAACUGGAAAAUACAAAAGGGGCUAGCAGCAAGGGAUCUGCAGCUAAGCCACAGAGCAGGAUGUCAAAGCCAAAUGAUACAGACAUGCAAAGACAAAUUAAAAAGAAACAGACAUACAAACCCAAGCCCUGGUACUGUUUAAACUGCGGUGAAGACUGGCACAUCGCCCACUGCUGCCCCGUCCCUGCAAACCCCAACUUAGUGGUUCUCAGUUCUCGACCUAAAGUCAGGGUACUGCCAGAUCCAGGCUGAAGAGGCAGACAAACCAAAGACAGCCUUCAUGUGUCCACUCAGAUUCUGGGAGUUCAAUAGAAUGCCUCAUGGUGUGAUGAAUGCCCCCAGUACUUUCCAAAGAGUAAUGGAACGGUGCAUGGGGGAUAUGCAUUUGAAAGAUGCGUUGGUCUUCCUUGAUGAUGUGAUCGUAUUCUCCAGAACCCUUGAGGAGCACGAAGAACUCGGGCACAACCUGAAAGAGCAGCCCCCUUAGUGAACAUUAGGACUACUCGACCUCUUGAGGUCCUCUGUAUGGACUACCUGUCCCUGGAGGCUGACAAAAGCAAAACCAAGGAUAUACUGGUGAUCACAGAUCACUUCACUAAAUUUGCGGUUGCUAUCCCAACACCCAAUCAAAAGGCCCGCAAAGUGUCUGUGGGAGAACUUUAUGGUACACUAUGGUAUCCCAGAGAAGUUACAUAGUGAUCAGGGUCCAGAUUUCGAGUCCCGCACAGUCAAGGAACUCUGUCAGGUAGCUGGUAUCCACAAGGUUCGGACAACCCCAUACCACCCUAGGGGCAACCCUGUGGAACCAUUUAAUCGUACCCUGCUUGAUAUGUUGGGCACUCUUCAAAGUCAAGAUAAGUCCUGUUGGCGUGAUCAUGUGAGACCCCUGGUUCAUGCCUAUAAUUGCACCAGGAACGAGGUGACUGGCUUCACUCCGUAUGAACUGAUGUUUGGGUGCCAACCUCGCUUGCCAGUUGACCUUGCUUUCAAGUUGCCAGUACAAGAGAGUCAACAUUCAUCUCACUCUGAGUAUGUGCAAAACCCAAGGUCAUGUCUCAAGGAGAGCUACAAGAUAGCUAUGGAAAAAGCUGCAAAGAUAGCUCACAAGAACAAAACGAGAUAUGACAGGCAUGUCAUUGCCUCAGACCUGGAACGUGGAGACCAAGUAUUGGUCAGGAAUGUUCGCAUCCGGGGAAAACAUAAGAUCUCAGACAAAUGGGAACUUACUGUCCAUGUGGUGGUGAGAAGAGCAGGCACUCUCCUGUAUACACUGUUAAACCUGAAAAUGAGGAUGGUCCCCUAAGGACACUACACAGGGACCUGUUGCUUCAGUGCGGUUACCUAUCUGUGGAGGAAAACCGUGAGCCGGUGCAAAAGCCAGUACCACGCAGGCCAGGAACCCGUGCGAACCUUGUGGUAGAGGAAGAGCAUUCCUCAGAUGAAGAAGAUGAUGCACUCGUUCCUGUUUGGUUAAGUUCCCCUGGCCCCAUGGUCAGUGAGAUUCCUAUGCACCUGGAUCUGCCCAUGACCCAUGUCCAAGGUGCUCAGCAUGUUGAACUUCCAGGCCCUUGUCCUGUUGAGAGUUCUGUAAAUGCUCAAAAUGAUGACAACCCACCAGAUGUUGACAAGUCACCUGAUCUUGAUAAUCCACCCGAUCUUGACACCCAAUCCGAUUUUGACAACUUAACUAAUAGUACUCCUUUGAUGUUCGUCAAGUCUAACUCUCAUCAGAGUGAUACUGAGUACUUACCCGUCGAUAGAAACACACCAACCGAACAAGUAGAUGAAACCACCUUGAUCCAAAAUCAGUCACCCGAGGAUGAUUAUCCAGACAUCCGAGGAGAGCAGCUCUCAGUUCCCUCAGUUAUGUCUGACAAAGAUGAGGAGAAUGAUGUUCUUAAAGGAGCAGAACCUGAGGAAAGAAAGGAGGAAAUAGGUGAAAUGGAAGGGAAGGAUGGAACAGUCCCAAUGGAUGUAGAGGAGAACACAGAUAUAAAUGAUUCUGUCUGGAGAUCUGGGAGAAACCGUCAACCACCACGACAGCUGGAUUAUACAGAGCUAGGAAAUCCUUUGAUCACAGCAGUGAAAUCAUUCUUUCAAGGACUGUCCACAGCUUGGGCAGAAGUCAUAAGAGAAGAACCUGUUCAACCACUUACCUUGUCACUUGAAUAAUUGUCCUUUAACGGUCUACUAUGCACAGUGACGUGCAUAGGUUCAGGAGGGGAGGGUGUAGCCAGGUGUAAAAAAAAAAAAAAAAAAAAAAGUUAUUUGAGUACAAUCACAGAAGAGAGACUGUUUAUUUUCUUUAUCUUUAUUUGUUUUGCAUCGGUAAAGUGUUAGAUGUCCUAUUGCAUUUGAAUGCACCGCUCAGGUCACAUGGGUACCUAGCUCUCAUCAGCCAAUCAGAGGCUACGCAGGCCACGCUCAGCCUGUCGGCUCAGAGGCGAAGUGCAGGCGUGCUGCUCUUCCGGUCCCUUCUGAUCUCAGCUGGAGAAGCGAGAGCAACUGCAUUUUUAUUUUAUUUCUUUUAAACUUAUCUUACCUUAUUUAUUAUAUGUCAUUUAUUUAUGAUGUAUUUUUUAAUAUCAUGUGUUCUGUUUUAUUGUGUUGCAGUGCAGCUCGAUGUCUUGCCUUGUCUAAGACAAAUUUCUCCCAUGGGAGACAAAUAAAGUGAACUUUGAACUUUGAACAUGCUAAGAGGAAGAAAAAACCAGGAGAAAACCGCAGAGUUUACUUGUGAAAAGGAAAAGAACAGUUGGAGCACUUACCCACUGGAGGUCCGGAGCCAAGUGACUGAACGAAGGAGAGGGUUAUGUCGGCUAACCACUUGCCUUUCACCCAGAGAGCCGCGGCAAGGUCCGACAUCGGCGUGUUCCGCCUUGAUACACAGCAACGGUCAGGUUUUUUUGGAGGACUGAAGAGUCUGAGGUUCAGGACAAACUUCCUGCUGUAACAGAUGGCGAACCAACCACCCUGAAGAAAGAUCAGCACCGAGAAGAUAUCCACGUACCCACUCAUUCACACACACAUUAUACAUUUAUAUUGCACUACAAAGACCUUUGGAAUCAGGUGAACUUGCAAUAAUCCUACAACAGGAAAACCUGCAACAACUCCUAUUUUACUUAAGGGCCCCAACGGACAUUUUUUUUGUUUCAAGUGUGCACACUGGGUUUUUCUUAUUGUCUUACUGUUUAGGUCAUUAUUUUAUAUUCUGUACAAAUCAGACAAAUUGUUUUAUCCACUGUUAAAAAUUAUACGAGUGGCUACUUAACCAUUACCCCUGCGACUGCCUCAUUAUUGUUGCUCAGUACAGUGGCUCCUCCCGAAUUUAGUGUCUUCUGAUUCUGGUCCAGGUAUUAUAAAUAGUCCAAGUAAUUAUUACACUGUAAUUCACUUUUAUAUCCCUGAAGUUGGUUACAGAAACAAAAAAGACCCCUGUAGCCAGAAGAGGCAAAGAUAGAGAAAAAGGAGAGUGAUAGAAACCUCAGACAAACAUCCACUCGAUGCAGAGAGCUCCAGGACUUGAAAUGGUUAAAUACUGACAUUUAGUUGGCAUUAUUUCAAAUUGAUCAGCACAUUACAAACCUGCCUACUUAUUAAUAAAACUGGGUGCUAUACUCUGAGUUUAGCGUUGUUUGAGAUUGAGAUUUGUAGUUCUAUUCUGAUUAGUAUUGUCUUAGUUGGUAGCCAUGCUGCUAGUGCUACUGCUAACAGCCAGAAGAUAAAUCAUGAGCUUCUUCUCUCUCUUUUAUAUACCAUAUAUAAACAAGAAAAGCACUCAGAGAGCGCAGCACUCUGCCAAGGCUGCUCAGUCGUUGUAUGAUUUCGGACAGAUAAGUCCUGAUAAGUCUGCAGUGGUUGAUUUGUAGUAGGAUCGCAAUCAUGUGAUCGUCAGCAGGCCGCUGACAUAACGUUCACUUGUCAUAGUUGCAGUGCCGCUAUGUCACGAUACAGAAAUCUUUAACAGAUCAGUGGAUCCAGACUAUAAGCUGCAUCACUGCCAAAAUGUAAUCAGGUGGUCCUUGUGUCAUUUCUGACUUUCCCUGAAAAUUUAAUCCAAAUCCAUUAGUCCGUUUUUGAGUAAUGUUGCGCACAGACAAACGGACAAAUGUACGCCCAUCGUCACAUAUGUCCACAUUUACUCUGUUGCGUUCCUUGUUGAAGUGAAUAUGGACAUAUCCUCAGGGUCUGGAAAGCAAAGUAAAACUUACAUUUUUUCUAACGACCAGAACAGUUUCAAAUCUCCUUCAAUACAGCAGGUGUUUAUUUUGUAAAUUAUAGUCACAUUUUGAGUAAAAUAGAAGAUAAAGCAGGGUAGAGCUACCUUGUUACUGACAGGUUGCUAUUUUCCUCAAGUUCUCAGUCAGAUUCUCUCCUCACCUGUUAUGUCUUGUUUCAACAGACCAAGCUGGUGACAGCCAAUUUCCAAACUCAAGGCUUCAAAGCAGCAGUCUACAAACUAAUAGAUUAUAUCACAAUCUAUAUUAGAAUCAUGUCCUGUGUUGUUGGUAGUUGUGAAGCUCUGAGGAACAGUGACUUGGUCUCUGCAACUAUGGUGUAUGACUUCCACCAUGUGGAAAUUGAAGGUGGGGUAAAGUUGAAAAAUUGUUGCCAUUUUAAGAAGAGAGCUUUGGUGAGUUUCACGGAUAUGGACAAAACAAAGACACAAUGAUAUACACACCCUGACAGAUGUUACUGGAGCAGAGGUUCAUUCUAUUGUGACGUCUAUACAGUUUGUGACCACCUUACAGAUGAAUCUCAAAUAUAUGUUCUUUUAUCUGGGGUUCAAUGUACACAAAAUAUUGACAAAAACUAUUUGGUUGCUGACUUUCUUUGAACUCUGUUUGGUGCUGGGCAGGUAAUAUACAGUUCUGUGUUUUUGUCAGUAUGGAUGACCAUGUUCAUGUUAAACAGAGUCAUUUAAUCUUGUUUUAUUGUGCUUCCUACAUUUUUUGUCUUUUUCAGUCUCUCUUUGACAGCAUCAUAGUGCAGUAUCGUACCAAUAGUCUGGUAUCUGCCACGCCUACUGACGUGUAACCGUCAGAGGUCUUUGGUUUAUGUGGAAUAGUGUUUAUUAAAGAAAGCAAAUUAAAAAAAAAAACCACAGAAUAUCAUUUGAAAUAAAUUCACAUCCCCUGUCUCUAAAAUGAAGUGAACCAUAAUGUACUUUUGAGCAAUGUGUUAAUGUAGAUUGAAGUCUUUUAGAAAUUUCCAUUAUCACAAAUGUGUCAGUAAGGUUUUGCUGGUUUUACUUCGGGUCUCUUCUGUAGUAUGUUUAGUUUGUUUAUCCUUCAUCAUGCAGCCUUGAAGCCUUUUCUCUUAGCGCCUGUGGACUGUGAGACCUUUAGCGGCUUGGCUGUGCUACAGCAUUUUGUGUAAUGCAUCGCAGUUUUCCUUUUUUUUUUCCCUCAUGCAAAUGCUUUGUGAGUUUAGGACUGGAAAGGCAGUUGAAAUGUAAAAUCCUCCUGUGCCCUUGGGUUGGUGCAGAAAACACAAAGGCAGGGGCUGCUGCCUUUGAUGCUAUUAGCAUAAUGUCUUUCUGAUGCUAAUGCUAAGUGCCUCAGACUGACCGCUGAAGCUUACACGGCCCACAGCCAUGAUGGGCUUACAUGGCUGCUGAUCGCUCUCUUCCUCGCCCUUCUUCCUAGUAUUGUGACUGCUGCCUGCUUGUCUUGCCUCAGCUUAGUGACAGUCAUUCACCUUCUCAACGAGGGUCAGGAGGCGGACCCCCUCUUCCUUCUGUCGCCCUGGUCACCAUGGAAACACCCCUCCCAUUCGCCAUCACCCACCCCGCCUCUCUUCUCUCUGGACAAUGGCCUUUGCUAUGUGAAUGCCGUAUGGUAAAUGUUAAAAGUGUGUUGUGUGUGCGUGUGUGUGUGUGCUGGGGUGUAAUAGGCUCUGUCUCAUCGCAGCUGAUUUGUGUUGGUGAUUCUACAGUACUCCAGGGCUCAGAUAUGAAUUGUAAAACACAUCACAGCAGGAGAAACACUCCUACGUACUGCUCUCUGAACAUCUAUUAACUCCACAAACACCCACGGAGACACACAAAUACAUGCACACUAUCCUGGGCACACAGUGUGUGUCAAGUCAAAGAGCCCUGCUGUGGAGGUGAUCAGGGCCUGAUUGUGUUGCAAACAGUAAUGAGACACACAACACAAAGGCUAGUGAGGUGCAUGACUAUUAUACCUUCUGGACCCACUCAGGGGUGUCUGCCUGAAUGCGUGUGCGUGUCGAGUAAUGGGACGAUAAGGACACUAAAUGAAAACGAUAAAUUAGCCCAAUGAUGUCUGCUGCACGAUGCAGCUCACACCCGUCAACAGCUCUGAUUGAAUUAUUGCGUUUGAAAAAGGCACCACAGAUGGAAAGUUAAUAGAUGGAAAACAUCAUUUUCAUCCGUGCUUUACGGCCCAACUGCCCGUUUGUGUAUUUUUCUCCUCUUCUCUCUCCAUUUUUGGAUUUGCUGUUUUCAUCUGCAGCCAGGCUGAUUUGCUGACAAGCAGUAAGAGUGGGAGUGAACAAGACAGAAAAAGAGACAGAGAGAAGAGACACAGAGAGGGGGGAGGAGAGAGAAAGAAAGUUGUUAUAAUUUCCCUCUGGUUUAAUUAUCUGAGCCUGCAGACAGCCCUACUCUUUCUCUCUUGUUGUUAAAUGUUAGAGGUGAAAAUGUGAGCCGUCUGUGUGUAACACAUAUGUGUGUGCAUGUAUGAGAUAUUCCUUUCCCUGUGUGGGCUAAUGGCAUACACAACAAAGCACCAUGGACAUCGACAUUGCUGAGCAGGGAGUAGUUUUAUCUCACUGUAAUGUUUAAACCUUGCUCAUUACACCCUGAAAAGAGGAAAUCAAUCAUUUUCAUCACCUGCUGACAGUCUGUGAUUACACAAGUCAAUGAGCCAUCAUAUUCAUAGUUGUGAUUUACUGUACUCCUGCGUAAUACUCCCUCUGAUGUACCAGUAUGAUUAGAGCUUCUAAAUUAUUCUGCGUCUUCAAACAAUGCAUGCGAAGACAAUCAGUGGAGAUUCUCACAUUUUUACAGCCUUUGUGAUGUCAGUAUUUGCCAGAGGCGGUUUUGGCCCGAGGCCGUGAUUUUUUUGAGAUGUGAAGGCAAGCUCUGGAGGGUCGGCAGGUCUCUUUGUUUGUCAUAAACUGCGUGUCUCAUAACUGAUGGAUAUAUUAAAUACAAGAGCUGUUAUCAAACAGAAGCAGACCCUUUUCUCCACAGCAGACAUUUUGACUUCUUUGUAGCAAGAAACGACAGUUGUAGCUGAUAACAUUAGCAAGGGCUCAGUCGAGUUAAGUGUCCUAGUUAGGCAGCCUUAAAGGAAUGUGGCCGGUAUUAACCUUAUUAUUUACACCUGUGCUUUUCCUGCAUUGACAUCUAAAAUGUUCGCCACAAAGAUGAUUGCUGUUGUUUUUGCAUUACUGAAGCAGUUCUCAUUUUCAGAUUGAAAUACUAUAUAUUUUACUACACUACGGAUAUCUAACUUCUGCGAUUGCUAGUUUAUUUGCCAUCGUCAUGGUGACUUCUGUCUUGAAAAAAUGGCAUCUUAUACAACUAAACUGCAUGUUCCGUUCAGUGUGGAGAAAAGCAUAUUGUCUCUUGGAUAAUGUUUGUUGUGAUGCAUCAGAAAUAUGAAGUGCGAUCAUAAAGUUCAGAGUCCUGCCACUUCUGCAAGACUCGUUACAGCUUCCGGGAAUCCUUUCACAUAAACCCGUCAAACAUCAUCUGCAAUGAGCACUGAAUCUCCUCAACUGUGUGAAAACGACACAUUUUGCACAAGAGGGAGAAGUUACUGAGAGUUAAAUGCAGCAAGCUGGGUGGGUGGGGGGGCGGCAAUUGUGUUGCCGUCGCCAAAACACCACAGCACUGUGACUGAGCGCAAAGCGAAGCUGUGCUGCAGUUAAGGUUUUUUGCAAUAAACGCUCUCCCUCAGAUGCCUCAAGACACUACAUGAGAACUCUGCCUUGAAAGUUAAACCCUGGGGGAUGAAUUCACAGUGCACAACCAUUUGAAUGUGGUAGAAAAUAACAAGCAUGCUCCUGGUAUGCUCCUGACCUGGACACUGCAGGUUUAUCCUCUGUGAAAGCUGCUGUUUCUUCUCUUAAUGGUAGCUACAGACCCACCUCUCAUCACCAAUGACGAUUCUUGCCAUGAAGCUUGGCUUAUCUCGAGCUGAUGACUGACACAGAAUGUGAUAUACCCUCUCUGCUCCAGCUUGAGGUCCAUAUAGAAAUCUCAGACACACAGGUCACGAUGUUGAUAGUGCGGUGUCUUACGGUCUCCUGAUUUGUGUUGUCGCUCAAACAUACCAUUUGUUUUAUUACUUUACUGCUUAAAGGUCAGUUCAUGCUUUCUGCAUCCACAAGGGCGCACAUGGCAUGAGAUUUUAUCAUGAGGCUGCGUGGACUGACCGCAUGAUUCUCAAAAUUUGUGACUGCACAGAUUGUCCGCACUGCAAGGGUGCUGACAGCAUGUGGCAGGGAAACAAGCGGUGCGUAAAGCAAAAGUUGCAGUUUAAGUAGUCACUGCUUGACUUUGGAGGUGCUUUGAUUUUUAUACAUUCUUUUUCACGAUGGAGCCCAAACAAACUAGGAUGUCCUAAAUUCUCCAGAAAUACCGUGCUAUGUUCAAAACAUGGAAUAAUAACAUUGACAUACAUAGUAUGAAUAGAGGCCGCUUAUUUGUCUGUGCACACACAUAUGGAAAGCAUUAUUUGGCCCUUUUCAAAUGUGCCACAGAGUCAAUUUGAACAACAGACCUAAUGGAAUAAUUUUGGUGCCUAAACCUAACCAAAUAGCAAACAAAAAGAAAAGUGAACAUCAAGUGAGAACAAUACUACAGUCAAAAAAUAAUGGGACCACAUGGGACAAAUGCACCCAGCCCCUAAGGUGGACUUUGAGGCUCUUUGAACCCUAUAACACAGCCUGUUCAAGGCGGAACAUUUGCAACUCUGUUUUAAUGUACAAAGAUUGAAUGGGGGGACAUUGUUGUUGCACCUUUAGGAUAAAAGUGGUGGUUGUCACAGAGCCAAGUCUACAUCUCUGUGAAAGGGUGAACUGGUAUGAAAGAAGUGCAAUAGACACCAAUGCUGUUGUGUUACACAUCAUACCUCUGAUUAUGGCUACGUCACCGUGCUACAUGAACCACACACUGAGGUUGCUUGACGCCGAUUUGCUUGGAUCAGUUUAAAUGAGAAAAAGCAAUCUUUUGAGACAUAACUAUGAACCAUCUUCUUAGCAGCAUUAUACUGCGAUCUCUGUGUUUAAAAGGCUUUUGACAGUGUUUCAGUUUCGUACUUGCUCUUACUACUGGAAACAAAUGCAUUUCUUUCAAAAUGUGAAUCCAAAUUCUGUUUAGAUGUAUAAUAAUGUAUUUUUUUUUGCAGACAGGUUUUCAAGGUUUAGCUGUUUUUAUCAGUUCAUUGUGACACGUGCAGCAUACAUUGCAGGAAACAGCACCCACCACUGAUGUUUGUGAAGAGUAAAUACGAAAAGCUUUCAUAAACCAUGUUGAAGCUCGACUGUAGUGUAACAAUCUGUGAGAAAAAAAUAGAUUACAUUUCAAGGAAAAUGUUGAAAACCAUUUUAUGAUGGCUUUGUGAGAUUAAUAGGCGGCGUCCCAAGUGGUCGAGUGAAAUGUUAAUUUGUUUCUUGAAUAAUUUCCCAUAUCGUCAGCUGCUACACAUAACCUCUAUUGUCCUCAGGGUGUUUCCUUCAUCCCUAUGGACACACACACACACACACACACACACACACACACACACACACACACACACACACACACACACACACACACACACACACACACACACACACACACACACACACACGCCAGGCUCCAUAAAACUCACAGCCACGCCCUGCCUUUGUUUUGCCAUUUGGCUUCAACUUCUGUCUUCUGAUGUGAACCCUGCAGAGGUCAUCACAUAAAUGCCAAGCUG
Amphiprion ocellaris (clown anemonefish) is the source of this 11684-nucleotide RNA transcript. RefSeq lists it as uncharacterized. The record is from RefSeq and is a predicted model, not a curated record. The transcript is spliced from 5 exons. NCBI's taxonomy places the organism in Eukaryota, Metazoa, Chordata, Actinopteri, Pomacentridae.